CAUUUCAUCUCUCUGGAUGCAUUAACCUUAUCAUCAUUGCGAUGAGUCCGUGUUAAAGUCAAACAAGAAAAUGUCAAACUUCUGUCAGUUUCCUCACUUGCAUCUGGACAAAACCCAAAUGAGAGACUGUCUACCUAAGAAUAUAAAUGAACUGAAAGUGAUCACUAAGUUUCUCCACUUAGAAGCUGAAAUCUUGUUACUGCUGUUCAUUUAAAAAAAAAAAAAAAAGAAUUCCACGAGUACUCCUCCAGGAAGGGUAUAUAAAGGCGGGUGAGGAGGCCUCCGGCAGAUCACUGGGAAAUUUUGGCAUGAGCAAGGUGACCUAUAAGCCACAAACUUCUAGCAGAGUUACAGAACAACCGACUCCAAGCACCUCAGGGAGAAAAGAGAAGACCCCCUUUCAACUCGGGUCCAGAGACAGUGACACGGUAGCCAAGACAACUAUGAAAGCUAAAAGAUAUCCUCAAGGGAGUUUAAGAGAAGAGACCUCUUCCAGAGUUCCCAUCCCUUUAAUUAAUUCUAAGAAAACCAAAGGAUCAAUCCUAUUCAGCCAUUAUCACAAGCUGAAUGAAAAGCUGAAUCAAAAUGAACCCAAGCAGUCCCAAGAGAGUGUAGAAAAACCCACCACUUCAGAUGAAGAGCCGGGCAGCCAGAACUUCAGAGUGGAGCCAGAGGCCUCAAAUAUCUAUGAAAUCUCCAAAGUCUAGCCACUUUGAAAUGGCAACUACUUAGAGACCAAACUAAGCAUGAACAGGGGACAUGCAUGGUAAUGAAUAAAAUUAAAAUUCACCCUGUUGUGAAAAUUUGC
Molecule: long non-coding RNA, 808 nt
Filed under: Vulpes vulpes (red fox)
Lineage: Eukaryota; Metazoa; Chordata; Mammalia; Carnivora; Canidae
Description: lncRNA (ENSVVUG00000029042.1)
Source: RNAcentral